This 1444-nucleotide ribosomal RNA is filed under the name uncultured bacterium. Its description in RNAcentral is "16S ribosomal RNA". It matches the Rfam family "Bacterial small subunit ribosomal RNA". The record is from RNAcentral.
GACGAACGCUGGCGGCGUGCUUAACACAUGCAAGUCGAACGGAAAGGCCCUGCUUUUGUGGGGUGCUCGAGUGGCGAACGGGUGAGUAACACGUGAGUAACCUGCCCUUGACUUUGGGAUAACUUCAGGAAACUGGGGCUAAUACCGGAUAGGAGCUCCUGCUGCAUGGUGGGGGUUGGAAAGUUUCGGCGGUUGGGGAUGGACUCGCGGCUUAUCAGCUUGUUGGUGGGGUAGUGGCUUACCAAGGCUUUGACGGGUAGCCGGCCUGAGGGGGUGACCGGCCACAUUGGGACUGAGAUACGGCCCAGACUCCUACGGGAGGCAGCAGUGGGGAAUAUUGCACAAUGGGCGGAAGCCUGAUGCAGCGACGCCGCGUGCGGGAUGACGGCCUUCGGGUUGUAAACCGCUUUCGCCUGUGACGAAGCGUGAGUGACGGUAAUGGGUAAAGAAGCACCGGCUAACUACGUGCCAGCAGCCGCGGUGAUACGUAGGGUGCGAGCGUUGUCCGGAUUUAUUGGGCGUAAAGGGCUCGUAGGUGGUUGAUCGCGUCGGAAGUGUAAUCUUGGGGCUUAACCCUGAGCGUGCUUUCGAUACGGGUUGACUUGAGGAAGGUAGGGGAGAAUGGAAUUCCUGGUGGAGCGGUGGAAUGCGCAGAUAUCAGGAGGAACACCAGUGGCGAAGGCGGUUCUCUGGGCCUUUCCUGACGCUGAGGAGCGAAAGCGUGGGGAGCGAACAGGCUUAGAUACCCUGGUAGUCCACGCUGUAAACGGUGGGUACUAGGUGUGGGGUCCAUUCCACGGGUUCCGUGCCGUAGCUAACGCUUUAAGUACCCCGCCUGGGGAGUACGGCCGCAAGGCUAAAACUCAAAGGAAUUGACGGGGCCCCGCACAAGCGGCGGAGCAUGCGGAUUAAUUCGAUGCAACGCGUAGAACCUUACCUGGGUUUGACAUGGAUCGGGAGUGCUCAGAGAUGGGUGUGCCUCUUUUGGGGUCGGUUCACAGGUGGUGCAUGGCUGUCGUCAGCUCGUGUCGUGAGAUGUUGGGUUAAGUCCCGCAACGAGCGCAACCCUUGUUCACUGUUGCCAGCACGUUAUGGUGGGGACUCAGUGGAGACCGCCGGGGUCAACUCGGAGGAAGGUGGGGAUGACGUCAAGUCAUCAUGCCCCUUAUGUCCAGGGCUUCACGCAUGCUACAAUGGCUGGUACAGAGAGUGGCGAGCCUGUGAGGGUGAGCGAAUCUCGGAAAGCCGGUCUCAGUUCGGAUUGGGGUCUGCAACUCGACCUCAUGAAGUCGGAGUCGCUAGUAAUCGCAGAUCAGCAACGCUGCGGUGAAUACGUUCCCGGGGCUUGUACACACCGCCCGUCAAGUCAUGAAAGUUGGUAACACCCGAAGCCGGUGGCCUAACCGUUGUGGGGGAGCCGUCGAAGGUGGGACUGGUGAUUAGG